CCUACGGGUGGCAGCAGUGAGGAAUAUUGGUCAAUGGCCGUUAGGCUGAACCAGCCAAGUCGCGUGAAGGAUGACUGAUCUAUGGUUUGUAAACUUCUUUUAUAUGGGAAUAAAGUUAUCCACGUAUGCUUCUUUGCAUGUACCCUAUGAAUAAGCAUCGGCUAACUCCGUGCCAGCAGCCGCGGUAAUACGGAGGAUGCGAGCGUUAUCCGGAUUUAUUGGGUUUAAAGGGUGCGUAGGUUGGUUUUUAAGUCAGCGGUGAAAGUUUGUGGCUCAACCAUAAAAUUGCCGUUGAUACUGGAAGACUUGAGUGUGUUUGAGGUAGGCGGAAUGCGUGGUGUAGCGGUGAAAUGCAUAGAUAUCACGAAGAACUCCGAUUGCGAAGGCAGCUUACUAAGCCAUAACUGACACUGAAGCACGAAAGCGUGGGGAUCAAACAGGAUUAGAUACCCUUGUAGUC
Molecule: ribosomal RNA, 460 nt
Filed under: uncultured bacterium
Lineage: Bacteria
Description: partial 16S ribosomal RNA
Rfam family: Bacterial small subunit ribosomal RNA
Source: RNAcentral